RNAcentral lists this ribosomal RNA (468 nucleotides) under uncultured bacterium. Its description in RNAcentral is "partial 16S ribosomal RNA". It matches the Rfam family "Bacterial small subunit ribosomal RNA", at positions 28 to 507 of the family's 1533-position model. The record is from RNAcentral.
GACGAACGCUGGCGGCGUGCUUAACACAUGCAAGUCGAACGGACAGGCCCUGCUCUUGUGGGGUGCACGAGUGGCGAACGGGUGAGUAACACGUGAGUAACCUGUCCUUGACUUUGGGAUAACUUCAGGAAACUGGGGCUAAUACCGGGUAGGAUCUCCUGCUGCACGGUGGGGGUUGGUAAGUUUCGGCGGUUGUGGCUGUACUCGCGGCUUACCAGCUGGUUUGUGGGGUAGUGGCGUACCAAGGCUUUGACGGGUAGCCGGCCUGAGAGGUGAGACGGGCUCCAUGGUACUGAGAUACGGACCAGUCGCGUACGGGAGGCAGUGGGGGGGAGUAUUGCAGAAUGGGCGGAAGCCUGAUGUAGCGACGCCGCGUGCGGGAUGACGGCCUUCGAGGUGUAAACCGCUUUCGCCUGAGCCGAAGCGGGAGUGACGGUAAUGGGUAAAGAAGCACCGGCUAACUACGUG